RNAcentral lists this long non-coding RNA (1892 nucleotides) under Cinara cedri. The record is from RNAcentral. Lineage: Eukaryota; Metazoa; Arthropoda; Insecta; Hemiptera; Aphididae.
CUGGAUGCAGAAUGUAUAUAAUGUAUGUUUUAAAAACUCUUCUUCGCAGUAAGUAUUUAACGAAUUAAAUUUAAGAUAGAAUUUAAUUUAAUGAUCUGUAUUACAUACAUUUCAGAAAGUCAGGAUAUUGUUUAUACAAUAUGUUUUAAACCGUUUAAUAAUGCAAAAUGUUUUAAUGAAUAUAAUAAAUAAAUAUUAAUUUUAAUCCCUACUGUUGUCGGGAUCAGAAUACAACUAUUAGGAAUUGUACAUCUAAUUGUCGUGUAAGUGAACAAAUGGGUACGUAUUAGGAAAGGAAAGUAGCCAGAAAAUGUCUGUUCUGGGUGAGCAAAAAUUUGAGUCCUAGUAUUAUUUUAAAUCAUUUGUUUCUAAAAUAAAUUUGGAAGUUUACCUCACACUAGGGGAAGUGUGUUGUAUUCUAUAACAAGAAUCUUGCUAAUUCAACAUUUAUCUUUAGUUGGUUAAAAACAAAUCCACUUUAUAGUUUAAAUGCCUACAGAAGUAUCAUGGUUUCAUGUAAAUGAAUUACAAUGACAGAAUUUACGAUUUGCAUUAAAGAAUUAAGACAUUAAAUAAUUUUUUCAGACCUAAAGAAACCAUCGAUAUAUUUUAAACUUCCUUCAUAGGUAUGUAGAUUAGAAAUGUAUUUUCAACACUAAAAAUUAAUUAUUAUAUAUUAAUUUGAUAUUUGUAAACUACCUUUGUUUAUACCCGGGACUGAGACUGAAUUUUACAAAUAUUAAAAAAUUAACUUCCAAACCGUAACCGAUAACUUUACAAAACCGAUUAAGCUCGUUUUAUUAACCUCAGCCAAAUCCUUCAUUUUUCUAUGAACGGUUUAAAGUGGUACCAUAAAAUAUACGACGCACCUUAGUGAAACGGCUUUUUAUGGAAAUUAAGUACUUGUAAUUUGUCUAAAUAUUACCUGUUUUAAGCACUAUGCUCCAAUGUAAAGUGCCAUAUGGGACUAUAAAUAGUACGAAUUUCUAUCAAAACUAACCGUCCAGACAUAUCAACAGAUAAAAGUGUGACCGGAGAUGAAGUCAUUCAGAGUAAAUUAUAGUUUAAAGAUUUAACGAAAAACAUUCUGUGAGCAUAAUUUAGUAUAAACAAAAUUGAAACGUUGUAAAAAUAAAUACGGCAGAAUAACAUCAUCAUCCGGGUCGAAUGCCUAAUGAUAGUGGAUAUCUUGUUGAUAUGAUUGAAUAUUUAGCCAUAUCAAAAAAUUUCAGUUUUACAAAACUAAUCAAAUGUAAAAAUUUUGUUUCAGCGUUCGCUGUUAAUAUUUACUAUAGGUAAUAUAUUAAUAUAUGUAGUUUUUAUAAUAAUAAAUGUCACUAAUAAAACAAUAAACAAGGAAGAUCAACGAAUCAAGAAACAAAACGAAUGUAUCGAUCUACCCAAUUUAUUUUUUUGAUAUAUUUGAAAAUGUAUUUUAGAAAAUAAUUUUACUAUCGAAAAUAUACUAAUGUAACUGAAUUUUAUUUUUAUUUAGGAUCAGAUAUUAAACAUGGAUUAAGCUUACCGUUUAGUAGUAUGCAUAUUGCAGAACUCAUAAAGACAUAAGCAAAAGUUUUCUUUCAAACGACUAUACCACAUAACAAAAAAAAUUGAUAAUAAAUCUACAGCCAUAAUGUAAUAAUAUUAUGGUCAUAAUUAUUAUUUGUUCAUUUAAAAACUUUAUAAUUAUUAUACAAUUGGGUUACAUGUAACAUUCAAUAAACGCAUUAAUUAUAAUUGUUAUUAAUAUUGUUUUAAUUAUUGGUACUUAACUUAUUAUACUAUUGUAUUUAUUUUAAAAUAUUUAUUCAAAUUUAAAUGGAUAAACAAGUGCAUGAUGUUAUAUCGUAGCACCGUGUCUCAAAAUAAUAUGAUUAAUUAAUUUUUCAUAA